RNAcentral lists this ribosomal RNA (635 nucleotides) under uncultured Marinobacter sp. Its description in RNAcentral is "bacterial SSU rRNA". It matches the Rfam family "Bacterial small subunit ribosomal RNA", at positions 870 to 1504 of the family's 1533-position model. Lineage: Bacteria; Pseudomonadati; Pseudomonadota; Gammaproteobacteria; Pseudomonadales; Marinobacteraceae. The record is from RNAcentral.
CGCCUGGGGAGUACGGCCGCAAGGUUAAAACUCAAAUGAAUUGACGGGGGCCCGCACAAGCGGUGGAGCAUGUGGUUUAAUUCGACGCAACGCGAAGAACCUUACCUGGCCUUGACAUCCAGAGAACUUUCCAGAGAUGGAUUGGUGCCUUCGGGAACUCUGAGACAGGUGCUGCAUGGCCGUCGUCAGCUCGUGUCGUGAGAUGUUGGGUUAAGUCCCGUAACGAGCGCAACCCCUAUCCCUGGUUGCUAGCAGGUAAUGCUGAGAACUCCAGGGAGACUGCCGGUGACAAACCGGAGGAAGGUGGGGAUGACGUCAGGUCAUCAUGGCCCUUACGGCCAGGGCUACACACGUGCUACAAUGGCGCGUACAGAGGGCUGCCAACUCGCGAGAGUGAGCCAAUCCCUUAAAACGCGUCGUAGUCCGGAUCGGAGUCCGCAACUCGACUCCGUGAAGUCGGAAUCGCUAGUAAUCGCGAAUCAGAAUGUCGCGGUGAAUACGUUCCCGGGCCUUGUACACACCGCCCGUCACACCAUGGGAGUGGAUUGCACCAGAAGUAGUUAGUCUAACCUUCGGGAGGACGAUUACCACGGUGUGGUUCAUGACUGGGGUGAAGUCGUAACAAGGUAACCGUA